Molecule: ribosomal RNA, 448 nt
Filed under: uncultured bacterium
Lineage: Bacteria
Description: bacterial SSU rRNA
Rfam family: Bacterial small subunit ribosomal RNA
Source: RNAcentral
UGGGGAAUAUUGGACAAUGGGCGCAAGCCUGAUCCAGCCAUGCCGCGUGAGUGACGAAGGUCUUCGGAUUGUAAAGCUCUUUUUGGCGGGGACGAUAAUGACGGUACCCGCAGAAUAAGCCCCGGCUAACUUCGUGCCAGCAGCCGCGGUAAUACGAAGGGGGCUAGCGUUGUUCGGAAUCACUGGGCGUAAAGCGCACGUAGGCGGACUUAUAAGUCAGGGGUGAAAUCCCGGGGCUCAACCUCGGAACUGCCUCUGAUACUGUGAGUCUCGAGACCGGAAGAGGUGAGUGGAAUUCCUAGUGUAGAGGUGAAAUUCGUAGAUAUUAGGAAGAACACCAGUGGCGAAGGCGGCUCACUGGUCCGGUUCUGACGCUGAGGUGCGAGAGCGUGGGGAGCAAACAGGAUUAGAUACCCCGGUAGUCCCUGAGCGGGCUGGCAAGGCGCAU